RNAcentral lists this ribosomal RNA (301 nucleotides) under uncultured bacterium. RNAcentral's name for it is "partial 16S ribosomal RNA". It matches the Rfam family "Bacterial small subunit ribosomal RNA", at positions 509 to 807 of the family's 1533-position model. The record is from RNAcentral.
CAGCAGCCGCGGGAAUACGAAGGGGGCUAGCGUUGCUCGGAAUUACUGGGCGUAAAGGGAGCGUAGGCGGGUCGUUUAGUCAGAGGUGAAAUCCCGGGGCUCAACCUCGGAACUGCCUUUGAUACUGGCGACCUUGAGUAUGGGAGAGGUGAGUGGAACUCCGAGUGUAGAGGUGAAAUUCGUAGAUAUUCGGAAGAACACCAGUGGCGAAGGCGACUCACUGGCCCAUUACUGACGCUGAGGCUCGAAAGCGUGGGGAGCAAACAGGAUUAGAUACCCCUGUAGUCCCUGUCUCUUAUAC